This 501-nucleotide ribosomal RNA is filed under the name uncultured bacterium. Its description in RNAcentral is "bacterial SSU rRNA". It matches the Rfam family "Bacterial small subunit ribosomal RNA", at positions 30 to 504 of the family's 1533-position model. The record is from RNAcentral.
CGAACACUGGCGGCGUGGAUUAGGCAUGCAAGUCGAACGGGAAAACUUCCUUCGGGAAGUAAGUAUAGUGGCGAACGGGUGAGUAACGCGUGGGAAAUCUGCCCUUUAAUGGGGGAUAACGUUCCUAACGGAACGCUAAUACCGCAUACGACCUCUUGAUCGCAUGGUCGAGAGAUGAAAGGUGGCCUCUCUAUAGAAGCUGCUGUUAAAGGAUGAUCCCGCGUCCCAUUAGCUUGUUGGUGGGGUAAAGGCCUACCAAGGCGACGAUGGGUAGCCGGCCUGAGAGGGUGUCCGGCCACACUGGGACUGAGAUACGGCCCAGACUCCUACGGGAGGCAGCAGUCGAGAAGCUUCGGCAAUGGGCGAAAGCCUGACCGAGCGACGCCGCGUGAGUGACGAAGGCCUUAUAGGUUGUAAAGCUCUGUCAGAUUGGGAAGAAAAUUCCGGAGUUAAUACCUCCGGAACUUGACGGUACCAUCAGAGGAAGCACCGGCUAACUCC